UGGGGAAUCUUGCGCAAUGGGCGAAAGCCUGACGCAGCAACGCCGCGUGCGGGAUGAAGGCCUUCGGGCUGUAAACCGCUUUCAGCAGGAACGAAAAUGACGGUACCUGCAGAAGAAGGAGCGGCCAACUACGUGCCAGCAGCCGCGGUGACACGUAGGCUCCAAGCGUUGUCCGGAUUUAUUGGGCGUAAAGCGUCCGUAGGUGGUUGUUCAAGUCUGCUGUUAAAGCGGGCGGCUUAACCGCAUAUC
Molecule: ribosomal RNA, 249 nt
Filed under: uncultured Acidimicrobiales bacterium
Lineage: Bacteria; Bacillati; Actinomycetota; Acidimicrobiia; Acidimicrobiales
Description: partial 16S ribosomal RNA
Rfam family: Bacterial small subunit ribosomal RNA
Source: RNAcentral